UUAACUAACAUAAGACAAGUAUUAAGUUCUUUAACCAUUUAGUUUAAAAUUCGAUAUUCAACUUGUGUUCAUAGGAAAAUAUUUGUCGGAAGAAAUCAAUCCUUUACAUAUAUCUUAAUUAUCUCGAAGGACUAAUCACCAUUUUUGGCGUAAAUGAUACCUUGAUUUAUAUGAUAGACUAGUUUAUAAGACUUAACUCAACUAACAAAUGCCAAUUUUAUUAGUCUGAACACCCGUAUUUGAAUCUGAAUUCUUGCGGUUGUUUUAUAUGUAAGUUAGUUGUGAUGAAAAAAAGAUCAGAUCCUCAACAACCAAUUCGUUGAUAUGAAUUUAUAAAAAAAAUAAAGUUUGUACAAUGAAUUUAUAAAAUUUAUAUUAUUAUCAAAGACAAGCUAAUGUGGUAAUUAUUCAACUAAUAAAAAAAUGAUAAUUAUUCAAUUACUAAAAUUGCUAAAAGUGGCAAUUAAUUUAAUCUUAUGAAUAGUGCUUAAUUAACCCAAGACAAACAUAUAAACAUUUUAAAAAUAAGAAAAACCUUAAAGAAGAGUUUUGGUGAGCUUAACUCAGUGAAUAAGAACAUCUCAUUAUAGGUGCAGAUGUCGAAAUUCAAACUCGAAACACCCUAUUUAAAAUUUCUAGUUACUAUUUGACAAAAAAAAAACUUUAAAGAAGAAAAUAAAGGAUAUGCACUAAAGAGGAAUGAAUCUAUAGGUAGGUGAUGCAUUUGGAAAUAUAUUCCAACAAGUUGAUUGUGAUACUUACAUAGUUGUAGGUUUGAUGUUUGUUUUGUUUGGUGUUCCUCUAUUAAAAACAUGUAUGGUGUGCCUAAAAUUUUUUGACUUUGAUGCUAAACAAAGCUUGACAUGUUUGGCAACUUUCCAAGAAACUUCAAGUUCAUAGACUUCAACUUCAAUGUUCUUUGUGGUCAAUUAUUUCGGAUAAAAAAGGCAUAUAUUCUUUGAACUAAAUUGUAGUAUAUAUAGUAUAUGAAAAUGAAAGAAUAAUUAAUCUCUUCAUGGAAAAAAUUAAAUUAAUGGGUUAAUGUGAAUCAUGUGCAGGCCAAAUCCAUCUUAAUGCUAGCAAAUAAAAAGGAACAAGAAAAAGUGAAGACACCAACAGGGUCAGUGCCAACAACACCAACAAUUNNNNNNNNNNNNNNNNNNNNNNNNNNNUGCAACGUUUUCUACAGAAAAGAAAGAAUCGGAUCCAAGAAACAUCUCCAUAUAAUCACUAGCAAAAUCAAAUUAAUUUUUCCUUUUUUACUAUAGGAUAGCCUAUUUUGUAGUUAGGGUCAGUUAUUUUCUUUUCAUUUUUUAGUUAAAUAUUGUUAAUUUGAAAUAUCAGCUUCCAAAUUUUUAUCCAAUCAAUAUAUACCAAUUCCUAAUCAGAAAAAUUGCUCAAAAUAGUAUACAUAGUAGUAACCGAGAAGCAACCUUUACUGUCAUUAGCCCCCACUUUCUCAUCCAUGAUCCAUUCCAUUAUAGAUGGUUUCUUGAUUAACAAAAGUGAUUAUUAUUAUUUCUUGAUUAACAAUUGUAGAAUCUCCUCAUCAAUUGUAUAGCCCUGGUCCUGGUCUUUCAAUGAAGAGAUCUUUGCAACGUUUUCUACAAAAGAGAAAGAAUCGGANNN
Molecule: long non-coding RNA, 1629 nt
Filed under: Trifolium pratense (red clover)
Lineage: Eukaryota; Viridiplantae; Streptophyta; Magnoliopsida; Fabales; Fabaceae
Description: long non-coding RNA (TPRA_LNC005865)
Source: RNAcentral